UAAACAUACCUCUAGGGUUCCGACUUAAACCCCAGCUUAAGUGUCUGGUCCGAGAGAGGUAAGCUGCUAAGGAUCGAAAACUAAAUAAAGUAGGGGUUUGGGGGCGAAGCCCCCAAGCAGGGGCAACACCCCUGCACCCCAAUUGUUCAUCUUAUUUAAUUCGUGAUCCUAAGGUCUUCCUGUAAAAGGAGAUGGCAGUUACACGGCGGGAUAAAAGCCCGGGAGAG
This 227-nucleotide small RNA is filed under the name Oscillatoriales cyanobacterium. Its description in RNAcentral is "Guanidine-I sequence". It matches the Rfam family "Guanidine-I riboswitch aptamer". From Rfam's summary of the family: This family represents a conserved RNA structure found upstream of the ykkC and yxkD genes in Bacillus subtilis and related genes in other bacteria. The function of this family is unclear although it has been suggested that it may function to switch on efflux pumps and detoxification systems in response to harmful environmental molecules. Lineage: Bacteria; Bacillati; Cyanobacteriota; Cyanophyceae; Oscillatoriales. RNAcentral also lists the same sequence under 1 other name. The record is from RNAcentral.